RNAcentral lists this long non-coding RNA (563 nucleotides) under Bos taurus (domestic cattle). RNAcentral's name for it is "long non-coding RNA NONBTAT008141". Lineage: Eukaryota; Metazoa; Chordata; Mammalia; Artiodactyla; Bovidae. The record is from RNAcentral.
GGAAUUUAGUUGUUUAAUGCAACCACUAAUCUAAUAUCACCAAUAAAAUCUAAGCAGUUAUAUCACAAAACCAGGGUUAUAUUCAGUGGACAUGCAUUAAUAAUCUAUACAAUUUAACAUUACACCAGAAAAGGAACUGAAUACAAAAUUUUCCUUGACAUUUGGUGGUUUUCAAACUUCAUGGCACAGAUUACCAAAAAAAAAAAAAAAUUGUAAAAACAGAUUUUAAAUAUUUUCAAUAGAAUGGUAAAAAAUUGAACAAGCCUUUAAAUUUUCAUAUUGGGGUGAAUAUUUAAAACAUCAAGCUGGCCCCGAUCUGUCAAAAAUGACAGGUAAAUAUUUACAGCGACUAGACAGGCUUUCAGUUACAAUGGUAUUGGAGGGCAACUUCCCCUGGUAAAAACCUUUUAUGGUUAAUUUCCCAAUGCAAAUAUGUUUUCAUAAAUACUGUGAUAAUUUAAACUUGGAAACAUACCUGAAAUCAGGACAGGGACAAAAAAAACCAACACAAGUCAAUCUUAUUUCUGACCUGUUAUCAUAAAGCCUUUUUGGGUCCAGACACC